GAUUAACGCUGGCGGCGUGCAUAACACAUGCAAGUCGAACGAUGAAACUUUAAUGAACCCUUCGGGGAGAAUUAAAGCGGAUUAGUGGCGAACGGGUGAGUAACGCGUGAGUAACCUGCCUUACACAAGGGGAUAGCCUUUGGAAACGAAGAAUAAUACCCUAUAAAACCAUAAAAGCACAUGCAAUUAUGGUCAAAGUGAUAGCGGUGUAAGAUGGACUUGCGUCUGAUUAGCUAGUUGGUGAGAUAAAAGCCCACCAAGGCAACGAUCAGUAGCCGGCUUGAGAGAGUGUACGGCCACAUUGGGACUGAGACACGGCCCAGACUCCUACGGGAGGCAGCAGUGGGGAAUUUUGCACAAUGGGGGAAACCCUGAUGCAGCGACGCCGCGUGAUUUAGAAGGCCUUCGGGUUGUAAAAAUCUUUUGUAUAGGAAGAAAAUGACAGUACUAUACGAAUAAGGUCCGGCUAAUUACGCG
This 477-nucleotide ribosomal RNA is filed under the name uncultured bacterium. RNAcentral describes it as "partial 16S ribosomal RNA". It matches the Rfam family "Bacterial small subunit ribosomal RNA", at positions 28 to 507 of the family's 1533-position model. The record is from RNAcentral.